AGUGAACGCUGGCGGUAGGCCUAACACACGCAAGUCGAACGGCAGCACAGGAGAGCUUGCUCUCUGGGUGGCGAGUGGCGGACGGGUGAGGAAUACAUCGGAAUCUACUCUGUCGUGGGGGAUAACGUAGGGAAACUUACGCUAAUACCGCAUACGACCUACGGGUGAAAGCAGGGGAUCUUCGGACCUUGCGCGAUUGAAUGAGCCGAUGUCGGAUUAGCUAGUUGGCGGGGUAAAGGCCCACCAGGGCGACGAUCCGUAGCUGGUCUGAGAGGAUGAUCAGCCACACUGGAACUGAGACACGGUCCAGACUCCUACGGGAGGCAGCAGUGGGGAAUAUUGGACAAUGGGCGCAAGCCUGAUCCAGCCAUACCGCGUGGGUGAAGAAGGCCUUCGGGUUGUAAAGCCCUUUUGUUGGGAAAGAAAUCCAGCUGGCUAAUACCCGGUUGGGAUGACGGUACCCAAAGAAUAAGCACCGGCUAACUUCGUGCCAGCAGCCGCCGUAA
RNAcentral lists this ribosomal RNA (506 nucleotides) under uncultured bacterium. Its description in RNAcentral is "partial 16S ribosomal RNA". It matches the Rfam family "Bacterial small subunit ribosomal RNA", at positions 29 to 523 of the family's 1533-position model. The record is from RNAcentral.